Chinchilla lanigera (long-tailed chinchilla) is the source of this 484-nucleotide long non-coding RNA. RefSeq lists it as uncharacterized. NCBI's taxonomy places the organism in Eukaryota, Metazoa, Chordata, Mammalia, Rodentia, Chinchillidae. The record is from RefSeq and is a predicted model, not a curated record. The transcript is spliced from 2 exons.
AGAAAAGGUGUUUGAAAGAACAUCAUCUCAUGUCAAGCUCUGCUUAUGGAUGGGGAAACACACCCAGAAAACGGAGGGUAGAAGCGGCCGUUUUCCGAGAAUGUAUUGCCUGUACCUGGUGUUUCGCAUCAGUCAUCUCAUUAAAUCCGCACGUUUGUUUGGGAAGUAACUUUGAGCCAACUGGCUAACUCCAUUCAAUGGACAAUUUCCCCAAAGAACAACCUCAGUGAAAUGCCAUCUGCCAUCAUCUGAUUGGACCACCAAAUCCCAUUGGUAAUCUUAUUCUCUGAAGAGCUAUGUGCAGUGAGAGAGUUCACCUCAGAGGUCUAGUCCAGUGGACAUCCCUAACCAAAGGACAGUCUCCUCCCAUGGUCUAGCAGCUAGUCUUACCCCAGUUGGGCAGCCUUACUUCAAUGGAUACUUUGACCUAACAGAUAAUGUCAUCUAAUGGAAUUCUCACCCAAUAAACAGACUCUCGCAGUGG